RNAcentral lists this non-coding RNA (116 nucleotides) under Protocruzia adhaerens. Lineage: Eukaryota; Ciliophora; Spirotrichea. The record is from RNAcentral.
UACUUUGGACAUAUACACACAGACAGAAACAAUAAAUAAUUAGUUGAUUAUAACGAAAACACCGCUUUCUGUUCUUUUUCGUUUGGGGUGUUUUUUUUUUUCUUUCUUUUUUCGUU